GACGAACGCUGGCGGCGUGCUUAACACAUGCAAGUCGAACGGUGAAGCGCCUUCCUUUUUGGUGGGUGUGGAUGAGUGGCGAACGGGUGAGUAACACGUGAGUAACCUGCCCCCUUCUUCUGGAUAACCGCAUGAAAGUGUGGCUAAUACGGGAUAUUCUGGGUCUGUCGCAUGAUGGGUCUGGGAAAGAUAUUGUUUCGGUGGGGGAUGGGCUCGCGGCCUAUCAGCUUGUUGGUGGGGUGAUGGCCUACCAAGGCGGUGACGGGUAGCCGGCCUGAGAGGGUGGACGGUCACACUGGGACUGAGACACGGCCCAGACUCCUACGGGAGGCAGCAGUGGGGAAUAUUGCACAAUGGGCGCAAGCCUGAUGCAGCGACGCCGCGUGAGGGAUGGAGGCCCUCGGGUUGUGAACCUCUUUCGCCAGUGAAGCAGGCCUGCCUCGUUUGUGGGUGGGUUGACGGUAGCUGGAUAAGAAGCGCCGGCUAACUACGUG
This 494-nucleotide ribosomal RNA is filed under the name uncultured bacterium. Its description in RNAcentral is "partial 16S ribosomal RNA". It matches the Rfam family "Bacterial small subunit ribosomal RNA", at positions 28 to 507 of the family's 1533-position model. The record is from RNAcentral.